RNAcentral lists this ribosomal RNA (450 nucleotides) under uncultured bacterium. RNAcentral describes it as "partial 16S ribosomal RNA". It matches the Rfam family "Bacterial small subunit ribosomal RNA", at positions 354 to 796 of the family's 1533-position model. The record is from RNAcentral.
GUGGGGAAUUUUGGACAAUGGGCGCAAGCCUGAUCCAGCAAUGCCGCGUGCAGGAAGAAGGCCUUCGGGUUGUAAACUGCUUUUGUACGGAACGAAACGGUCCUGGUUAAUACCUGGGGCUAAUGACGGUACCGUAAGAAUAAGCACCGGCUAACUACGUGCCAGCAGCCGCGGUAAUACGUAGGGUGCGAGCGUUAAUCGGAAUUACUGGGCGUAAAGCGUGCGCAGGCGGUGCUGUAAGACAGGCGUGAAAUCCCCGGGCUCAACCUGGGAAUUGCGCUUGGGACUGCAGUGCUGGAGUACGGCAGAGGGGGAUGGAAUUCCGCGUGUAGCAGUGAAAUGCGUAGAUAUGCGGAGGAACACCGAUGGCGAAGGCAGUCCCCUGGGCCUGUACUGACGCUCAUGCACGAAAGCGUGGGGAGCAAACAGGAUUAGAAACCCUUGUAGUCC